Pelobates cultripes (western spadefoot toad) is the source of this 743-nucleotide non-coding RNA. Lineage: Eukaryota; Metazoa; Chordata; Amphibia; Anura; Pelobatidae. The record is from the annotation of a GenBank genome assembly.
CUAGGGUAAACAAUAAGCACAGUCCUUUUUUAAUUUUCAUAUAAUCCAGGCACUUUAUUUAUAAAUUCACACAGGAGACAGCAACACAACUAAAGAAACAUAAAUGAACAGGUUUCCCCUUUAAACAAAAACCUAGCUCGUCUGAGCACUGACUCACUUUUUAUAUCCCUCUCUAUCAUGGGUUAAACUAACAAAACUUAUCAUUGGGUUGCACCAACCUUAUUAGAUAGCAACACUCUGCUCCCCUUUCUGCACUCCAGUGCUCUCAGCUAGCCUGCUCCUUUCCUUUCUGCACUCCCAGUGCUCCAAGCCAGCCUUGACUGCUUCCUUCUGCACUCCCAGUGCUCCAAGCCAGCCUUGACUGCUUUCCUUUUGCACUCCCAGUGCUCUUAGCCAGCCUUAACUGCUUUCCUUCUGCACUCCCAGUGCUUAGUCUCCUUGACUCUUUCACAGGAGAGAAUAGUGUCUCUCCUACCUGCUUCCAGGAAGGAAGCCAGCAAUCCCCCUUUCACCUGCCUAGCAGGGAGGGGUGUAUUCCCACUGCUGCAGCUGAUUAUCCACAGCUAAGCAGUGGGUUGGAGACAGUGUAAAACUCUGGCCUGGACAUUAUUUCUCCCAGUAAUUAUGUAAACUGAGGAGUGGAGCAUUGGCCCACCCUGCUCUCCAAAUGCUCCACCCCAGGGGCCCAUAACUAAACGUAGGUUUGUGUUGCACACCACACAUACAACACACAAUGCCUUCAC